CCUACGGGGAGCUGCAGUGGGGAAUAUUGGGCAAUGGGCGCAAGCCUGACCCAGCAACGCCGCGUGAAGGAAGAAGGCUUUCGGGUUGUAAACUUCUUUUGACAGGGAAGAGCAGAAGACGGUACCUGUCGAAUAAGCCACGGCUAACUACUUGCCAGCAGCCGCGGUAAUGCGUAGGUGGCAAGCGUUGUCCGGAUUUAGUGGGUUUAAGGGGCGUGUAGCCGGGCUGACAAGUCAGAUGGUAAAUCCGGGGGCUCAACCCCCGAACUGCAUGUGAAACUGGUGGUGUUGAGUAUCGGAGAGGCAGGCGGAAUUCCUAGUGUAGCGGUGAAAUGCGUAGAUAUUAGGAGGAACACCAGUGGCGAAGGCGGCCUGCUGGACGACAACUGACGGUGAGGCGCGAAAGCGUGGGGAGCAAACAGGAUUAGAUACCCUGGUAGUC
This 442-nucleotide ribosomal RNA is filed under the name uncultured bacterium. RNAcentral's name for it is "partial 16S ribosomal RNA". It matches the Rfam family "Bacterial small subunit ribosomal RNA", at positions 338 to 795 of the family's 1533-position model. The record is from RNAcentral.